GUGCCAACUGCGCCGAACUCCAUCCGUUGGUCCGCGGGGACAACGAGACCCAACCUGGAUGGAGGCGGGGGACCCACCGGUCCACCGAAACAGAAGGACCAGGAGCCGAUUCGGUUCCUUGGGGUGAAGCCGACGUCGUUUCGACGCCGCCGGCCGGGCGACCUCUCCAGCCCGAACCCGACAGCUGACCUCGCGGGCGCAUACGAGAGGACCU
Molecule: small RNA, 214 nt
Filed under: Mycolicibacterium chubuense
Lineage: Bacteria; Bacillati; Actinomycetota; Actinomycetes; Mycobacteriales; Mycobacteriaceae
Description: Mycobacterium chubuense c-di-AMP sequence
Rfam family: c-di-AMP riboswitch aptamer (ydaO/yuaA leader)
About the family: This family represents a conserved RNA structure found upstream of the ydaO and yuaA genes in Bacillus subtilis and related genes in other bacteria. The ydaO/yuaA element is thought to act as a genetic "off" switch for the ydaO and yuaA genes in its native state. It is believed that the element may be triggered during osmotic shock leading to activation of ydaO, a predicted amino acid transporter gene, and members of the yuaA-yubG operon which code for KtrA and KtrB K+ transporters.
Source: RNAcentral